RNAcentral lists this ribosomal RNA (433 nucleotides) under uncultured bacterium. RNAcentral describes it as "bacterial SSU rRNA". It matches the Rfam family "Bacterial small subunit ribosomal RNA", at positions 29 to 507 of the family's 1533-position model. The record is from RNAcentral.
AACGAACGCUGGCGGCAUGCCUAACACAUGCAAGUCGAACGAGACCUUCGGGUCUAGUGGCGCACGGGUGCGUAACGCGUGGGAAUCUGCCCUUGGGUUCGGAAUAACAGUUAGAAAUGACUGCUAAUACCGGAUAAUGUCUUCGGACCAAAGAUUUAUCGCCCAGGGAUGAGCCCGCGUAGGAUUAGCUAGUUGGUGAGGUAAAGGCUCACCAAGGCGACGAUCCUUAGCUGGUCUGAGAGGAUGAUCAGCCACACUGGGACUGAGACACGGCCCAGACUCCUACGGGAGGCAGCAGUGGGGAAUAUUGGACAAUGGGCGAAAGCCUGAUCCAGCAAUGCCGCGUGAGUGAUGAAGGCCUUAGGGUUGUAAGCUCUUUUACCCGGGAUGAUAAUGACAGUACCGGGAGAAGUAAGCCCCGGCUAACUCCGUG